Molecule: ribosomal RNA, 382 nt
Filed under: uncultured Synergistaceae bacterium
Lineage: Bacteria; Thermotogati; Synergistota; Synergistia; Synergistales; Synergistaceae
Description: bacterial SSU rRNA
Rfam family: Bacterial small subunit ribosomal RNA
Source: RNAcentral
AGGACGCGUCCUUCGGGAAGCGAGCGUACACAGGUGGCUGCAUGGCUGUCGUCAGCUCGUGUCGUGAGAUGUUGGGUUAAGGUCCCGCAACGAGCGCAACCCCUGCAUUCAGUUGCCAUCGGGUAAUGCCGGGCACUCUGGAAGGACUGCCAUCGACAAGAUGGAGGAAGGUGGGGAGUGACGUCAAGUCAUCAUGGCCCUUAUGUCCAGGGCGACACACGUGCUACAAUGGCCGGCACAACGGGAAGCGAGUUCGCGAGGACGAGCGGAUCCCUCAAAGCCGGUCGCAGUUCGGAUUGAAGUCUGCAACUCGACUUCAUGAAGCUGGAAUCGCUAGUAAUCGUGGAUCAGCCAAGCCGCGGUGAAUACGUUCCCGGGCCUU